CAAAUUAAAGCUAAUAAAUUAGUAUUUUAUUUACAAUAAAAUUUAAAAUUAUAACCUUAAUAAUUUAAUUUGA
This 73-nucleotide transfer RNA is filed under the name Hydropsyche pellucidula. RNAcentral describes it as "tRNA-Val". The record is from RNAcentral. Lineage: Eukaryota; Metazoa; Arthropoda; Insecta; Trichoptera; Hydropsychidae.